ACUAAAGAAGGCUUCCCCACAACCCAUAUGCAUCUGCUUUGACUGGUGGUUUCUAUCAUCCUACAAAGACUGUGACUUAUUGGUGAGGGCAGCUGGACAACUCUGAGAGCAACUUAGAGAAAUCCAUCUUGGGCACACUCUAUAAAGGAGCUCCUUCUCUGCAAAUAGCACCCCAGAUAAGUGCACAAAAGCAAGAUACCCUCGUGGACCUACACGUCCUCCCGCUUUUCAACACCCUGAUGCCUGAAGCUAUGGUUGAUACUAAAGGAGGUUUUCCCACUAUCCGUAUGCAUCUUCUCUGUUUUGAGAUUGCAACUAUGGACAGUUAUGGCUAAUCCUAGUAGCUUGUCUUCCCUUCUUUUAACAUCUUGGAUGAAUUUGGGUCACACUAAUUGUUAUGUGAAGAUGGAUGUUGAAUGUAAGUUUCUCUGCCAUUCUUAGCCAAUAUAUAAAAAUUACAUUAGCCUAAUUGCUAACAAUGCCAAGAAUUUAGGUUUAGUAUCCCUCUGGACAAUGUAGCUUCUUGUUUUCUUACCAUAUAGAUACUCUAUAUAUUCACCCCAGCCAGUCAUUUU
This 575-nucleotide small RNA is filed under the name Pongo abelii (Sumatran orangutan). RNAcentral's name for it is "retained intron". Lineage: Eukaryota; Metazoa; Chordata; Mammalia; Primates; Hominidae. The record is from RNAcentral.